AUUUUGGAAUUUCUUGUUCUAUUAUAAAUAUGGAAGUAUCCCUAUUUCAGAAGACAUAUUUUGUUAAAAAUGAAUUGUACAUAUUUAAAUAUGUAUUUUUGCACAGGUCUUUUUUUCUGAUAUCCUGUUUUGGUACAAUUGAGAUCAUCUAGUAUUUAUUUAUUAAUUAAUAAAAGUAAAUACCUUUUUAUAAUUUGAAGUGGUUCACUGCCAAGCCAAUAGUUCUAGAACCUGCCUCCUUUACAGUUUAAGGGAUGCCUCUGUUCUGUGAAAAAGUCUUUGUCCCUUUUCACGUCUCGGGAGUGGAUUCAUCCGGAUGAAGUGGGCAUUCGCGUCUCCCUAGUUGCCUGAUUGCCCGAUAGACUCCAUGUAACUAAGUGACACACUGCUUUUCCUUUUGUUAGUGUUUUAUGUGUGCGUGUGUGCGUGCGUGGGCGUUGUGUGUGUGUGCAUGUGCGCUGAGCACACGUGUGUGAGUAUGCGAUGUGGUUUUAAACUAAUGGAAAAAAACUGAAAGUGCCUGAACCUAGUUUUAAGCUUAGACAGAUUCUCUUUGAAAAAGACUUGAAUGUUCAGUUGAACUUUUGGAGUUUGCUUUUCCACCUAAAUAUUGUUUCUAAAAUUUUAAGGGAGGAGUUGAAAACCACCAGUGCUGGUGAUUUUAUAAGGUGUUUUAAAGUCCAAGGCCUUUUGGGUCACAGUAAUUCAGCUGUUGAUGGAUUGCCCAGUGGCACCAAGGGUUACACAUCUCUCUGUCUGCCAGCAACUUAAAUGAUGUGUCCGUUUUGUUACUCACGCAUGAAAUACAGAGUUUAAAAUAAAAUAUUUAAAUUAUUUUGUAUUCCAAAAAUCUAAUACAAAGAAGUACCUCUGAGAACAUUGAAAAAAAAAUGUAUAAUCUGAAAAAUGUAACUUAUAAGGCAGCUGUCGUCCUGCGAGAGUUCUGUUGCCAAGGAAUUUCUUAACGUCUCUCAUUGCGUCCUGGGUGGGGAACACGGUGGGCUUUGGAAAAUGAUCGUUAAAAGUUCUGUUUGUUGUUUAGCAGAAAAGAAUCAUUUUUACAGUUUGUGCAAAACAUUUUACAUUUUCAGAUCAUUUAAAUGAGCACUACAUACUGUCAGUGUGAAUGUAGGGCCUUGAAAGCAUUCUGCUAAGUUUCUUUGAGCUGGGUUAUAAAAGCAAUCUCCUGUGUUAAAAUGUGUGACUAGUUGGAUGAUUUGUACACGUAAAUCAAGAGCAUCUCAGCUGGACUCGUGUUGGCUGCUGUAGAGAACAAGAACAAAUGUCAAGGGAUAGAAAAUUACUUUGGAUAUUUAAAAGAGAAGAAAUAUAUAGUCUAUUUGUUUUGUAACAAGUUUCUGUAAAUAAAAUAAUUUAUACUAUUUAUAAGAAAAAGUUGUGCUUUGCUUUAUGAGAAAUUAGUUUGUGGAACAAACAUGUUACUAAACGGGCAAUAAAAUUAGGACUUGUCAAUAAAUGAGGUUGGCUGCAUGAAAUACGUGACACGUUUCUGCCUCGCGAUACCGAACCCUCCCAGUCGGGUCUGGCCGCUCUUCCCUCCCGGCAUCAGGCCCCCUGGGGGAGCACCUUCGCUUCGGCCUCCCACCCAUACAAGCGGAGUACUUUCCAGGCCUUCGGAGAUUGCCAUUCCUGGGCACAGAGCCUCGCCCUGCCUGGAUGAAUCGGUGCCUGUGUCAACAAUGAGCACUGCUGUGUUCUGGCUCUGCAGGUCUGCCGAGGAAGCGCUGGGCGGGUGACGCUCGAGAAACGGCACGUUCUGCGUGUGCUUGCUUAGCUGUAAGGUGGGUGCCUUGUGGUCAGCUUAGGUAGAGGUGAGCAUUUUCGUCCCAGAGCUGGUCUCCCCUCCCCCUGCAUUGCACCUGUGUCCCUCACUGGUAGGACAAGCACACAGGAAACCUCUUACCUGUAGUAGAAGGGUGGCCCUGUGGCCAGUUGAUGAUAAGUCAUUCUGAGAAAUUAAUAUACAUUAGUUUGGUUUAAAAGAAAAGCAGCUAGUGCCUAGUGUAUUGAUCAGAACAUGAAUGUCAGGUGGCUGUAACCCCAGCGUGGACUUUAACCAGUGACUCCCGUGACUAAAUCCUUUCACCGUGGGUGGCUCCAGCCCCUCCCCAGGGAAGGGCUCACUGCUCAGUCUCUUAGCCCCGUGACUUCCUUUCCCUAACAGGUAACCUGACUCUGCAUAGCUGAGCUCAAGGAAGGGGGUUGAUCUUGGCGGUGGGAUUUGCCCUGUGGAAAGGCCAGGGUAAGGUUAUUCUAGGGCCAUGGUUGGGGUUGGGGACCUUUUUUCCACUAAGGGCCAUCUGUAUGUUUACAGCAUCAUUCGGGACCAUAGCCUUCCGCAGAGUUGCUGAAUGUUGAGGCCCAUCUGUGCUUGCCUUGCUCGGCAGGGCCAGACCAGGUGAUUUCGCAGGCCUUAUGUGGCCCUGUGGGCCCAAGGUCCCCACUGCCGUUCCCGGCAGAGGGUGCCACAUGGGGCGAACAGGGCUGUGAAGACCACGUGGAGCAGAUCACCUCGGAGAAAGCAGCUGGUGUCACAGUAUCAAGGACCCUGAAUUUCACAGAGCCUCUGUCCUCAGGAGAACGUGGUCCAGUCCCACCCAGCACUGUGGGAGUUGCCAAGAGUAAAAGCCGUUGCCAUCAUUUCCUGGAGACGGGGAAAAUCAAAGCCAAAGCCCUUGGUCCAAAGCCAGCACUGCCGGAGUCUCUUGGGAAGCAGAAACGACAUUUUCCGAGAGGAGAGAAUCCAGCACUGACAGCUAUCAUCUCCGUCACGUGCGACCCCCAGUAACUGGAUGACGACAGAAUGCACAGAUCAUGUGGACGAAGUUACAAAGCAUCCAUGACGGAGGCCCAGGCACAGCACACUCGUAUAUGGCUUCUCCUGGACUCCACAAACCCAAAGCUCAUCCUCCAUGGCCCAGAGAGAAGCCAGCCGAGGACAGAAUCCCACAGAGAAAAUGCUUGUAUUUUGUGAAGACAGAUGGAGAUCCAGCACUGCAGACUAAAAGGGUUGCGAGGCGACUCAACGUAAGCAGCCUGCAUGUAUUACCUGUCAUGGCAAGGACAAGGAGCAUGACCCGUCCCCCUCCUCAAGGUAAAGUAGCAGUCGCAGCCACUCCACGGGGCCUGCAUCACCACAGGCUGCCACUGGGAAUGAAAAGCAAGUCCUGGUGCCUUCAGUGGCUCUUUCCUGUCCUCCUCACCUACUGGGUUUGGGCUAAAAUGGUGAAAAAAAUCGAUGAAGCAUGUUCUAAGCAGGAAAGGAGAAUGAGAGAAUCAGAGGGACUGUGCCGUAAGCCCACAGCAAGUCUGAGUGUGUGAAGAUAGACAAAGCCGUGGUUGCUGUGAGCCCAUCAGUCCCUGGUGCUCUGUAGGUGGGAGCUGGGAGAAAGGGUUAUUUAAUCCUUCUUUCUCUCUAGCAUGAGCUGCAGUGUAAGUUGGGAAAAGCAGAAUUUUGUUGCCUAAAUGGACAGAGCAACAUAGUAAGUUCUGUGUUUUAGAACUAGGGGGGUUUUGUUAAGGGCACACAGAGUCACAGUAUUUUCACAAAAUGUUUCACAGGUGGGCAUUCUUGGAGAGCCACAAGUGCUUAAGCACACCCAGCAUUUCUAAACCCUCCACACCCACCCCGCUUUCCUCACUGAAAACCAGCAGCUCCUCUUCCACUACAGUACUGAUGGCAGGGCUUUGAUUUCCAGACCCACUGCUCCAGCAGUAGUAACAGUUACCAAGUUAUUUUCCGAUCCAGUGUCCACAUGAUUCAUUCAUUCCGAUCAGCAAGUAAAAGUGCCCUUUAAAAAAGCAGGCGUCUCCUCGCCGCCCCCCCCGCCUCCAAUGUAAGAUGCCAUUCCAUCCAUGUUCUGCAGUUCCAGCUCUCCCAAAACUCAGCAAAUCUGGCUGUGCCUGUACUCCAGCCACCAACUUGUGAAGGCUGUAGUGAAAACCUCGUUACUUGCCCUCUCUUGAAAACUGCAUUCUACCAGAGACCUCCUGGGGCCCUGCAUAAAACAAAGCGCCCCCUUUAACUCUCUCUCCUUGUAGACUUCAUCGUAUCCUGGGGGAAGGGGAGAUGAAAUGCUACAUAACUAUCAGCAGAACCGAAGAGGAAUAGCUGUGCUGUGUUGCGUGAGACUGGCCUUGUUAACUUUUGGAAUCCAUGUUAUGCCACCUUCCUAAACAUGGUAACUCUGUCUUAGGUUUACUGCGGGAACUGGAAAGCAUGUACUCUGUGAAAUCCGGAGCCUAAAGUGUCUUGCCGAGAACAGAAAGGGAACAGCCCUUUAAGCACCAUCGGCUGCCUUGAAGACUACCCCGUGUCACUGCAGCAGAUGCCUGCUCCUGCACAGACUCCACGGUGCCCCUGCCAACGGAAGACUUGAUCGCCUCCACAUCACACUGCAGGAGCAGAAGGAGGCACAGAGCCCACGGCCGCACAGUGACCUCCUGGUGGACAGAGCCAGGCCCAGUCUUGUUUCUCCGGCACUGCGCCUCACAAGCCACUCCUUCCAGUGACUCAUGUCCAACAUAAAAUCUCCAUGCCCGUCCUAGUACACCACCCUCUUGGGCACUGGUUACCAGACUGGGAGCUCCCAGGGUUGGGAAGAUCAUUUAAACCUGUUAGGGCUGGCACCAUGGCAGAGCAGGUUAAGCUGCUUUCUUCGACCAGGACACCUGCCUGCUAAUAGAGACUUGGGAAAGCAGUGGAAGCGCUUCCUCCCACCUGGCACUCUGCUUUCCAGACUAAAAAAAUGUAAACAUGCCUAUCAUUUCGUUUUUUCUUCCUUUCAAAGAAAAGUAAGGUGACAGCUGUACAGGAGGAUACUGCUUACAUUUAAGUCCUGUGCAUUUCUCUGAACAGAAAUUGUACUUCAACACAAUACGUAGAUGCAGCGUAAGAUGGCCUGGGGCAGAGAGGUGUUAGUGUCUGACACUUAAUUUGAAUCAGUUUUAAAAGUUACGUAUGGGCCGGUGCCGCAGCUCACUUGGCUAAUCCUCCACCUGCAGCGCCAGCACACCGGGUUCUAGUCCCGGUUGCCCCUCUUCCAGGCCAGCGCUGUGGCCCUGCACCCGCAUGGGAGACCAGGAGAAAGCGCCUGGCUCUGGAUCAGCGCUGUGUGCCAACCACAGCGCGCUGGCGGCCAUUGGAGGGUAAAGGAAGACCUUUCUCUCUGUUUCUCUCUCCACUCUGUCAAAAAAGUUAUUAUGUAUGUUCCAAAGUUGCCUUAAUAAAGUGUUGGAAAAAUCAAUGACUGAAAAGAAAAUGGUUUCUUUCCUAUGAAAUGCAACUUUGUUUAAAAUAACGGUAGGGGGAGACUUCAGCACACUAGAAAAAGUAGGCAGGCAUUUCCCAAGUUUUUUGUGCCAUCCUCCACCACCGUUAACACUGCUUCCCUGAGCUACUGAACAGCCCACGUGGCCUCUGUCUUCUCACU
Long non-coding RNA from Lepus europaeus (European hare), 5453 nucleotides. RefSeq lists it as uncharacterized. The record is from RefSeq and is a predicted model, not a curated record. NCBI's taxonomy places the organism in Eukaryota, Metazoa, Chordata, Mammalia, Lagomorpha, Leporidae. The transcript is spliced from 5 exons.